GACGAACGCUGGCGGCGUGCUUAACACAUGCAAGUCGAACGGAAAGGCCCUGCUUUUGUGGGGUGCUCGAGUGGCGAACGGGUGAGUAACACGUGAGUAACCUGCCCUUGACUUUGGGAUAACUUCAGGAAACUGGGGCUAAUACCGGAUAGGAGCUCCUGCUGCAUGGUGGGGGUUGGAAAGUUUCGGCGGUUGGGGAUGGACUCGCGGCUUAUCAGCUUGUUGGUGGGGUAGUGGCUUACCAAGGCUUUGACGGGUAGCCGGCCUGAGAGGGUGACCGGCCACAUUGGGACUGAGAUACGGCCCAGACUCCUACGGGAGGCAGCAGUGGGGAAUAUUGCACAAUGGGCGGAAGCCUGAUGCAGCAACGCCGCGUGCGGGAUGACGGCCUUCGGGUUGUAAACCGCUUUCGCCUGUGACGAAGCGUGAGUGACGGUAAUGGAUAAAGAAGCACCGGCUAACUACGUG
Molecule: ribosomal RNA, 468 nt
Filed under: uncultured bacterium
Lineage: Bacteria
Description: partial 16S ribosomal RNA
Rfam family: Bacterial small subunit ribosomal RNA
Source: RNAcentral